AUAAUGCAAGUAGAACGCUGAAGACUGGUGCUUGCACUAGUCAGAUGAGUUGCGAACGGGUGAGUAACGCGUAGGUAACCUACCUUAUAGCGGGGGAUAACUAUUGGAAACGAUAGCUAAUACCGCAUGACAAUUAAGUACUCAUGUACUAAAUUUAAAAGGAGCAAUUGCUUCACUAUGAGAUGGACCUGCGUUGUAUUAGCUAGUUGGUGAGGUAACGGCUCACCAAGGCUACGAUACAUAGCCGACCUGAGAGGGUGAUCGGCCACACUGGGACUGAGACACGGCCCAGACUCCUACGGGAGGCAGCAGUAGGGAAUCUUCGGCAAUGGGGGCAACCCUGACCGAGCAACGCCGCGUGAGUGAAGAAGGUUUUCGGAUCGUAAAGCUCUGUUGUUAGAGAAGAACGGUAAUGGGAGUGGAAAAUCCAUUACGUGACGGUAACUAACCAGAAAGGGACGGCUAACUACGUGCCAGCAGCCGCGGUAAUACGUAGGUCUCGAGCGUUGUCCGGAUUUAUUGGGCGUAAAGCGAGCGCAGGCGGUUAUUUAAGUCUGAAGUUAAAGGCCGUGGCUCAACCAUGGUUCGCUUUGGAAACUGGAUAACUUGAGUGCAGAAGGGGAGAGUGGAAUUCCAUGUGUAGCGGUGAAAUGCGUAGAUAUAUGGAGGAACACCGGUGGCG
RNAcentral lists this ribosomal RNA (682 nucleotides) under Streptococcus parauberis. Its description in RNAcentral is "bacterial SSU rRNA". It matches the Rfam family "Bacterial small subunit ribosomal RNA", at positions 51 to 717 of the family's 1533-position model. The record is from RNAcentral. Lineage: Bacteria; Bacillati; Bacillota; Bacilli; Lactobacillales; Streptococcaceae.